UGGGAUGUAGCUUAGUUGGUAAAGUGCCUACUUAUUAUGCAUGAGGCCCUGGGUUCAAUUUUCAGUACCUCAU
RNAcentral lists this transfer RNA (73 nucleotides) under Mesocricetus auratus (golden hamster). It matches the Rfam family "tRNA". From Rfam's summary of the family: Transfer RNA (tRNA) molecules are approximately 80 nucleotides in length. Their secondary structure includes four short double-helical elements and three loops (D, anti-codon, and T loops). Lineage: Eukaryota; Metazoa; Chordata; Mammalia; Rodentia; Cricetidae. The record is from Rfam by way of RNAcentral.